AGCUCCAGUAGCGUAUAUUAAAGUUGUUGCAGUUAAAAAGCUCGUAGUUGGAUUUCUGGCGUGACACGUCUGACCCGCCACAAUCAUGUGUGUGAGUGUCGGUUCAUGUCUGCCAUCCUUCUGGAGAACGUGUCUACCUUUAAUAGAGGCCGGAUGCGCGAUCCAGAUCUUUUACUUUGAAGAAAUUAGAGUGUUCAAAGCAGGCUUGCGCUGUGAAUACAUUAGCAUGGAAUAAUAAUUUAGGACUUUUGUUCUAUUUUGUUGGUUUCUAGAACUGAAGUAAUGAUUGAUAGGGAUAGUUGGGGGUGCUAGUAUUCAACGGCCAGAGGUGAAAUUCUCGGAUUCGUUGAAGACUAACUUAUGCGAAAGCAUUCACCAAGGAUGUCUUCUUUAAUCAAGA
Molecule: ribosomal RNA, 400 nt
Filed under: phytoplankton environmental sample
Lineage: Eukaryota
Description: partial small subunit ribosomal RNA
Rfam family: Eukaryotic small subunit ribosomal RNA
Source: RNAcentral